Molecule: long non-coding RNA, 1917 nt
Organism: Balaenoptera acutorostrata (minke whale)
Lineage: Eukaryota; Metazoa; Chordata; Mammalia; Artiodactyla; Balaenopteridae
Exons: 3
Source: RefSeq, a predicted model, not a curated record
CUGGAAGGAGAACAAGGAGAUCACAGGCUCCAAGCGAGACCAAGACUUCUCCUGGGAAAUGAGCUUUUCUCCCAGAUGGAGCUCUAUCUGCCUUGCACGAGUCAACUCCAUCAAGUGUGCACUGCUCAGCCUUGAGGUUGACCAGCCAGUUCUGCCUGCCUGCCAAAUGAUGCCCUGAAUUGUCUGUGGUUCUGGGGAUCAAGCCUUGUAGGGAUCACCACUGCUUUCUGUCCAUCCUCUCACAUAACCCCACAGAGACUGGCAAGCACUGAGCAACUGGAGAGGAAGACCAGCAGAGCCCCUCUGAGCAUUAGCAACUUCUCUGGGCUCAGCAGGAAAGAAUGCAGAGACUGAACAAUGAUCUCUGCCUGCCAAGAGCCAAGAGGGGACGAGGAGGCCCAACUGGGAGAUGCUCUUUAAUCUUCCACUGGGGAUUUCUUUGGGAAUGACGCUCUGCGGUUCAUCAUCACAUCCCACACAAAAGGAAACCUGAAUCAAUGGAGAGCUCUACCCGACCCAUGGAUUAGAUGAUCCAGUACCAUAAAUAUGAGGAUGUCUCCCAAAUUAAUAUACGCGUCUAAUGAAAUGCCCAUCAAAAUCUCAGUAAGGAUUAUCCUGGACCUUCACAAGCUGGAUCUAAAAUUCAUAUGGAAGAGAAAAGGCCAAAGAAUGGCCAAAAUGAUUUUGAAGAAGAACAAGGAGGAGAGACCGACCCUGCCAGUUAUUAAGACCUAUUACAAAGCCAUUCACAUAAAGGAAUUAGUGCAGGAAUGGACAAAUAGACCAAUGGAAUAGAACAGAGGGCCCAGAAAUAUACUCACAUGUAUCUGAAUACCUGAUACAUGACAGAGGUGACAUUAAUAAGGAAAGGACAGACCAUUCAAUAAACAAUGUUGGGUAAUUGGUUAUCCACAUGGAAAAGUCAAAAUUCAAGAUGGAAUGUAAUUGAGAUUGACAUAUAUACACUACUAUAUAUAAAAUAGAUAACUAAUAAGAACCUACUGUAUAGCACAGGGAACUCUACUCAAUACUCCAUAAUGACUUAUAUGGAAAAGAAUCUAAAAAAGAGUGGAUAUAUGUAUAUGUAUAACUGAUUCACUAUGCUGUACAGCAGAAACACAACAUUGUAAAUCAACUAUACUCCGAUAAAAAUUAAUUACAAAAAAAACAGAAAACAAAAAGUGGAAUGCAAAAUAAAAACAAUUUUUUUUAAAGUCGUAUGUAAAACUUUUUGGAAGAGACUGUAAACAUAAGAGAAUAGAUUUAUGACAUUGGGAUAAGGAAACAUUUUUUAAAAUAGAGAAUAGCAAACCCACAAGCCAUAAAGGAAACAAUAAAUUUGCCUAAGUUAAGAUUACAACUAUUGUUCAAGAAAAGACACAAUAAACCAAGUAAAAAGACUCCUCACAAACUCUAUCCAGAAUAUAUCAAGAACUCCCACAAUCAGUAAGGAAAAGGCCACCCAGGAGGAUAAUCAACAAAGGGUAUGAAUUAGAAAUUCACAAAUAAAUGACACCAGGUGUCCAAUAAACAUAAGAAGCUUCACCUCCACAGUAAUUGGGGAAAUGCACAUUCAAUUCACAAUGAGGUAUCAUUUCAUCCCCAUCAGACUGGCAAGACCUUUAAAGUGUGGGCAGCAGUGGUUCAUGCUGGAUAGAACGGCCAAGAUGAGAGUUAAAUGGUACAACCACUUUGGAGAGCAAUGUGUUACUAGUGAGUAAAGUUGAGAAGGAAUAUUCCUUAUGAUCCAGAAAUACCAAUUCUAGAUUUACAGGACAACUCUUAUACAUGUACACAAAGAGACAUAUGUAAGAAUGUUUUGCAAUAUCAAUUAUAGAAGCAAAAAAAUAUCUAUCAACAGGGGAAUGAGCAAAUAAAGCGUGGUGUAUUCACUCAGUGGUGUGCUACUCAACAGUC